CACAGUCACACUCAUACUCACACACACACACACACACACUUCCUGUCUUCUGCAUGGAUCCAUGGUAGCCCUCCGCUGACCAGGCUGGAAGAACGUGCGCACACACUGAAAAGAAAGCUGUUGAUUUAGUGCUGGCGACCCUCCAGCCGUGGAAGUGGGGGGUCCCAGAACGGUUAUUAUUUCUUUUUCUGCCAGCAGAAAACAUCUGUCCUGUGAAAAUUAUAUUUGCCAAGAGACCACAGCAUACCUGCUGGGAGCCCUGUGGCCCUCCCCUCCAACUCUUCUUACAGGCAGAGGCUACAGACUGUGCUCUGGUGAGACUGACCAUGGACCCCCAAAAGCUCUCAACACCCUGAGCUGACCAGAAGGAGAGAGAGUGUCCUCUGACAAGGAGGCCUCUAGGAACCACCGAAAUGGAGCUUGUGACUCUCAUGAACAGAACUUUGAUUCCACCCAAGUUAGCUGCCUCUGGAUCUCUUAACUGGCCCUGCCCACCUUAAUUUGCAUAAAAGACCAUGGACUUGAGAAGAUAUUAAAAUAAAAUCAACGAUCUCAUUAUCAUAUCAAAACUAUGUAAGGAAUUUUUGUGGGUUAGGGAUUAUCAUUCCCAGUUAGAUGAGAAAACCGGGGCCCAGAGAAGUGAAUGAGCUUGCCCAACUCACAAAACCAAGAAGUGGAAUGAACAUGAGCUUUCCUGGUGAAUGAAGACUAAACAUCAAGUUUACUGCUUCCUGCUGCCUCCUGUUGGUGUGAAGAGGAAAGAGCAAGACUCUGGGUUGUCUGAAGAACGGCGCCUUCCUUCCUGCAGUUGAGGAGGCAAGCCUCCCUUCCACCCCACCAAGCCACAUUCUCAGGAUGCCUAAUUGUUUCAGUUUUCAGAGGUUUAACAGAACUCAGGAAUUGGAGUGAUAGCCUUCCAAGCCAGCAGUGGUUUCAGGCUGGCUGGAGGAUCCGCAUGGUCUCCUCUUUUCAGCCUGGUCCCUAAUCAUCUGCCCUCUGAGUUGUAGGUGCAGCCUUGGGAGAUGACCAGAGACAGGAAGGGGUCUGAUAUUUACCAGCUGUGUAGAUACCACACAAGGGCUUCACUUCUCUGACCUUAGUUUCCUUCUCUUUAAUAGAAUCAGGAUGUCUGCAACUUUCCUAGAACAUUGUAAAUUGGAACAAGAUUUGGAGUUAGGCACUUAGAAAAUGUCCACUUCCCUUGCUUCUCUUUCAGUUUCUGCUGGCAGCUUUAGCAAGGACUGAAAUAUUGAUUGCUCUCCUGCACGGUGCUUUGGCCAAGCCUUGGGGCUGAUGUCCCAGUCAUGAAGUCAUUGUGUGCUGAGCCAGGAGGAUGAGUAACCACCUCCCUCUCCAGUUGAACUUUAUCUCAUACAGGUGUUUGGGUUGAGGCAGCCCAGGCACCUCUGCCCAAUCCCAAAUCAGACCAUUACACCCAGCACGUGCUAUGAGCUAACAAAGCAAGAGCCGCCAAUCAUGGCUAUAAAUCCAGGGUGUUUAUGUAGUCUUGGUGCACCUCUAAACUCCAAUAACCCCAAGUCCCACAGGAGUAGAGAAAACAAGCUGCAAUUGUUGUUUACUCAUCAAAACCACAUUCUUCAGAGGAAUGAGGAGUCAGGACCCAGAUGUCACUCAGUAAAUCAUCCAGCAACAACUAGGGAAUGAUUGCAAUGGGUGAAACACUCUGAUCAAAUAAUGGAAUGAAGGAGAGAGCAAGGCUUAAAACAAAGAAAUCAGCCUGGAUGAGGCUGGAGCCCAGAAGAUUCCUUCUCUCUGUGCCAUUUGCAAAUGUGUGUCUUCAGGGUGAACAUGCAGAGUGAUUCACCUUAAAGUUUCAUGGGGAGGGGUCCAGGGCUUCAUUAACACCGGGUUCAAUAGGUUAUUAAAGUACGCUCUCCUUUCAAAUGUA
Phyllostomus hastatus (greater spear-nosed bat) is the source of this 1909-nucleotide long non-coding RNA. RefSeq lists it as uncharacterized. The transcript has 2 exons. The record is from RefSeq and is a predicted model, not a curated record. NCBI's taxonomy places the organism in Eukaryota, Metazoa, Chordata, Mammalia, Chiroptera, Phyllostomidae.